RNAcentral lists this ribosomal RNA (225 nucleotides) under uncultured Lactobacillus sp. RNAcentral's name for it is "partial 16S ribosomal RNA". It matches the Rfam family "Bacterial small subunit ribosomal RNA", at positions 138 to 356 of the family's 1533-position model. Lineage: Bacteria; Bacillati; Bacillota; Bacilli; Lactobacillales; Lactobacillaceae. The record is from RNAcentral.
UCGGGGUAACGACCUGGAAACAGAUGCUAAUAACGGAUAACAACAGAUGAUGCCUAUCAACUGUUUAAAAGAUGGUUCUGCUAUCACUCUUGGAUGGACCUGCGGUGCAUUAGCUAGUUGGUAGGGUAACGGCCUACCAAGGCGAUGAUGCAUAGCCGAGUUGAGAGACUGAUCGGCCACAUUGGGACUGAGACACGGCCCAAACUCCUACGGGAGGCAGCAGCG